GAUUGAACGCUGGCGGCAGGCUUAACACAUGCAAGUCGAACGGUAACAGAACUAGCUUGCUAGUUGCUGACGAGUGGCGGACGGGUGAGUAACGCGUAGGAAUCUGCCUGAUAGUGGGGGAUAGCCCGAAGAAAUUCGGAUUAAUACCGCAUAAUCUAUUCGUAGUAAAGUGGGGGACUUUUAAGCCUCACGCUAUCAGAUGAGCCUGCGUAAGAUUAGCUAGUUGGUAGGGUAAAAGCCUACCAAGGCAACGAUCUUUAGCUGGUCUGAGAGGAUGAUCAGCCACAUCGGGACUGAGACACGGCCCGAACUCCUACGGGAGGCAGCAGUGGGGAAUAUUGGACAAUGGGGGCAACCCUGAUCCAGCAAUACCGCGUGUGUGAAGAAGGCCUGAGGGUUGUAAAGCACUUUCAAUUGUGAAGAAAAGCUAACGGUUAAUAACCGUUAGCCUUGACGUUAACUUUAGAAGAAGCACCGGCUAACUCCGUGCCAGCAGCCGCGGUAAUACGGAGGGUGCAAGCGUUAAUCGGAAUUACUGGGCGUAAAGCGUGCGUAGGCGGUUUAUUAAGUCAGAUGUGAAAGCCCCGGGCUUAACCUGGGAACUGCAUUUGAAACUGGUCAACUAGAGUAUGGUAGAGGAAAGUGGAAUUUCUGGUGUAGCGGUGAAAUGCGUAGAUAUCAGAAGGAACAUCAAUGGCGAAGGCAGCUUUCUGGACCAAUACUGACGCUGAGGUACGAAAGCGUGGGUAGCAAACAGGAUUAGAUACCCUGGUAGUCCACGCCGUAAACGAUGAUAACUAGCCGUUGGGGGGAUUUACCCUUUAGUGGCGAAGCUAACGCGUUAAGUUAUCCGCCUGGGGAGUACGGCCGCAAGGUUAAAACUCAAAGGAAUUGACGGGGACCCGCACAAGCGGUGGAGCAUGUGGUUUAAUUCGAUGCAACGCGAAGAACCUUACCUGGUCUUGACAUCCUGCGAACUUUCUAGAAAUAGAUUGGUGCCUUCGGGAACGCAGUGACAGGUGCUGCAUGGCUGUCGUCAGCUCGUGUCGUGAGAUGUUGGGUUAAGUCCCGUAACGAGCGCAACCCCUAUCCUUAUUUGCCAGCACGUCAUGGUGGGAACUAUAAGGAGACUGCCGGUGAUAAACCGGAGGAAGGCGGGGACGACGUCAAGUCAUCAUGGCCCUUACGACCAGGGCUACACACGUGCUACAAUGGGAAGGACAAAGAGCCGCGAAGCCGCGAGGUGUAGCUAAUCUCAGAAACCUUUUCGUAGUCCGGAUUGGAGUCUGCAACUCGACUCCAUGAAGUCGGAAUCGCUAGUAAUCGUAGAUCAGAAUGCUACGGUGAAUACGUUCCCGGGUCUUGUACACACCGCC
This 1376-nucleotide ribosomal RNA is filed under the name uncultured marine bacterium. RNAcentral's name for it is "bacterial SSU rRNA". It matches the Rfam family "Bacterial small subunit ribosomal RNA", at positions 27 to 1394 of the family's 1533-position model. The record is from RNAcentral.